GACGAACGCUGGCGGCGUGCUUAACACAUGCAAGUCGAACGGAAAGGCCCCUUUGGGGGUCCUCGAGUGGCGAACGGGUGAGUAACACGUGAGUAACCUGCCCUUGACUUCGGGAUAACUUCAGGAAACUGGGGCUAAUACCGGAUAGGAAUCCUUGCUGCAUGGUGGGGGUUGGAAAGCUUCGGCGGUUUUGGAUGGACUCGCGGCUUAUCAGCUUGUUGGUGGGGUAGUGGCUUACCAAGGCUUUGACGGGUAGCCGGCCUGAGAGGGCGACCGGCCACAUUGGGACUGAGAUACGGCCCAGACGCCUACGGGAGGCAGCAGUGGGGAAUAUUGCACAAUGGGCGGAAGCCUGAUGCAGCAACGCCGCGUGCGGGAGGACGGCCUUCGGGUUGUAAACCGCUUUCAGCAGGGGCGAAGCUUGUGGUGACGGUACCUGCAGAAGAAGCACCGGCUAACUACGUG
This 465-nucleotide ribosomal RNA is filed under the name uncultured bacterium. RNAcentral's name for it is "partial 16S ribosomal RNA". It matches the Rfam family "Bacterial small subunit ribosomal RNA", at positions 28 to 507 of the family's 1533-position model. The record is from RNAcentral.